GGCUGUGACACGGGGUGCCGCGCACUGCGGCUGAGAUGACACCCGUCGAACCUGAUCCAGUUAGCACUGGCGAAGGGAUUGUCCGGCAUGUGCGGC
Molecule: non-coding RNA, 96 nt
Filed under: Nesterenkonia sp.
Lineage: Bacteria; Bacillati; Actinomycetota; Actinomycetes; Micrococcales; Micrococcaceae
Description: TPP sequence
Rfam family: TPP riboswitch aptamer (THI element)
About the family: Vitamin B(1) in its active form thiamin pyrophosphate (TPP) is an essential coenzyme that is synthesised by coupling of pyrimidine and thiazole moieties in bacteria. The previously detected thiamin-regulatory element, thi box was extended, resulting in a new, highly conserved RNA secondary structure, the THI element, which is widely distributed in eubacteria and also occurs in some archaea.
Source: RNAcentral